Non-coding RNA from Salmo salar (Atlantic salmon), 4254 nucleotides. The record is from RefSeq and is a predicted model, not a curated record. Lineage: Eukaryota; Metazoa; Chordata; Actinopteri; Salmoniformes; Salmonidae.
AUAUGCAUAUCGGCAGCCACGUGAAUACAGAAUAUUCGAAAGAAUAAACUCAACAAUUGAAUCUUAUCAUUUGCUUUUGAUUGACGCCAACCGACAUUCAUUGUUGCCAGCUUCCGCAUACCCAACACGACCAGUCUUUAUAAGGUGUGCGAGUCCAGCAACUACGAACGUUAGCAGCAGACAGAACAUCGCUUUUUCCGAGAAGAGAAGAAACUUGGCUGACUCCUUACUUAAUUGUAACACAUUCAAUUUACUGUCACGGCAACUUAGACAGGUAUUACUUUGCAGAAAGCCAAUAAAAUGCCGAACUAAAUCGUGAAAUAACGGAGACAACAUAGUUGGCUACUUGUGUCACCAGCAGUUAUUUUCCCAUGCCACCAUGCGAUUCGCAGCUAACGUUAGCUACUACUAGCCUUUCACAUCCACGUGUAGGCACCGCGUGCUGGUUUGCUAUGUUUUGUGUAUGAAAAAGGCCAAAGACAAGUGGUACAAGUCAUUUUUAUUUGGCCACAUGUAUGCAGAAAAAUGAUGUAUCAAAGCCGUACCUCAUUGAAUGUGUUUGCGGUCAGAAAGUCCGUGUUGCCGGUGAGUAUACGCUCAUCUUUUCUACGCCACUGCGCCGCCAUUUUACAGAUCCUCACAUGGCUUCGUUCAGCUAUAGCUAGGAGCGUUGCCAUUGGUCAGCGCACAGACACGUGGUCACCAGAACACGGAAUUUGCCGGUAAACGCAGAUCUGGGAUCAAUGUAUCUUGCUCAAAUCAUAACCAAGUACUGUUUUGCAAUAAGCGCAAAACUGACCGGAAAUCAGAUCGUCAUCCGAUUCGCAUAUCUUUGAUAUGUCAAAUGCUAUUGCUGUCAUGCACCUGCACAGUAGUUAUCUUAAUCAUGUCAAAGUCAACGCAUGUGUCAUAUUGCCUGAAACGAAGAACGGAUUUUAUACCUGUCAAAUAAAUGUUUUCUAGUUUUAUGCCUACCCAACUGCAACGCCAGAGUGGCAGUUUGAAGUUUGACUCAAAUACAAAAAAUAAUUUAUAUAGCUGAGUCAAAUCUGAUAUUUUUCCUGCAGUCUGCACAGACAAAAAGCACAUGGAAUCAGAUAUUUCAAGCCACAUUUUGAAAUCACAUAAAUCUGAUUCCUGGCCAUGUGACUUGUCUGAAAGGUCAAAUGCCCAUAAGUGGUUUCCAGACUGUGAUUUAGCAUAUAUUGUUGGUUGUUAGCUACUCUGUUGACAGUUUGACAAGAACAUCUGGUAGCUCACAAGUUUGUUCAUUGUUUGAAUGUGCUAGUAAGCUAAACAGCUACAUAGCUAGCUAGUUGAAUGCUGUGGCUAGCCAAAAAGGACUCAUUUUGAAAGUUGGAUCAUCUUAUCCUUUGAGGCUUUAAAAGUGUUCUUACACUAAGAUUUCAAACAUUCAAAGCAACUGGGGGAGACUUUCAUAUCGAACAUUAAAAGCAUCUGGGGUAGACUUUGCAUGCUACAAAACAACUUCUGAUUGAGAGGAAGAAUGGGCACCACCACCAAUCAGCCUAUGCCCCUGCACACACCCGCCAUUACCAUGACAACUAGAGUAGCCAUGUCAGUCUGAACACAUCUGACAUUUGAGCAUUAAGGAACAGAUAUUUCACCUGGUGUAUAAAUGUGAAGCAUCCGCUUGGCGUUUCCACUCACUACCAAAUAUGGUAGUGAGAGGAAGCCCAGUGGCUGGCAAUGGGAGAAGAUGGAACGAGAUGGAUUUUGGCAGACAUUCUGCAAAUCUUCUCAUCGAUUAAACAUUUGAUCUCAAUACAGUUCUGUUCCCAAUACUUUAAACUGUUACGAACAGAGAGGACUACGUUUUGUAGACUUUACCAUUGUCAAAGUUUCCAAAAAUUGCAUCGUUUAGGAGUGCAAAGGCGAAUUGAGUUAUUGCACGGGUGCACUUUACAGAGUAGGUGUUCCCUAACGGAAAUAUGAUGCCCCCAAAAUACUUCCCCCAGCUAUGUCUGCACCUGUUACGAAAAGUCACUUCUAGUCGUAGCUGUAUCGAAGUGGUAUGUUUUUAGGGGGUCCAGUAUACCUCUGUUUUACACCUCAAAUUAUAAGGUUGGUUGUUUAGCAACAAAACUGAUGCGUGCGCAACUAUGGGGCAAAACACACUGGGUUGGCUUAGAUUGUUGACAACAUGGAAACUAGAUUUCAUCUCCAAUGUUUAUUGAAAAGAUAAAUACAUUUGCACAAUGAGCACUUGUUGUCUCUCAAAUACAUCAUUACAGUUGCUGGUUAGAUAACUAGCUGAAAAGAGCCACAUACGAUUCCCCACAAGGCAGCUUCUUGUCAUUGUUGCUAGCUAUCUGGCCAUCCAGAAUCACAACACACGACCUUCUGCCCGUGGUAAACUAACCCAUCGAUUGUUAUUCUUAAUUAUUACAAAAGUGCCAUCUAGUGGCAUGAGGAUGCACAAUCAAAAAUAAUGUAUGCUCCAGAAUGUGCAGAAAUCUCAAUCCACAAUAUUCUGAACAGCUUCCAGUUUGAAGUAGACUUCUUAUUGCAGAUGUUUGCUCCCGGAGUUAGCUAGCUAACUUAAUCGCUAGUUGAUUACUACAUUUUACCUCCAUUGUUAACAUUGUUUUUUUUUGUGGUUAAAGCUAAUAACGUUAUCACAAAGUGUCGCUCAAAAGUACUGUCAACGUUAUGUUGCUAAGGAGUUCUGGGACCACCUGCGCUGUUCAAGGCUACAACUACGAUUUAGAUGCACUAUUGUAAAGUGGUUGUUCCACUGGAUAUUAUAAGGUGAAUGCACCAAUUUGUAAGUCGCUCUGGAUAAGAGCGUCUGCUAAAUGACUUAAAUGUAAAUGUACAACCAGGCGAAUUUAACCUAUGGCAAAGUCAACAAUGCUUUUAUCAUAUACACCAUUAAAAAGGUCAGAAUGCACAUGUCCACCAUGGCACACAUUCGUCUACCAACUGCGGAAGAAGACAAGCAAUUGUGGUUGCGAAAUCUCAAAUUAAAGAAAACACCAAAGACUCGUUCCACUUUGUUGACAAAGUCGAGAACCCUUACCCAACGCUAUGACUAGGCUACGAUAGAGCUCCAGAGAAGAAACGGCAACGACAGUUGCAAAGAGUUACUGACAACAUUACGACAGAAGGUGACUGUAGUCAAGCAGGGGCGAGUGGGUCACCUCCUGCACCCCAGGGCUUCUCUGAUGCUCAAACACAAUGGAUGGAUCCUAUCCUGGAGGACCACAACUAUUGCAGUCAACUAUACAGAUCAGCAGUGCCAUGGAGAUGACCCAGAUGUCUAUGGUGGCAGGUGCAGUGAUAAACACACAACACAGCACUCAGGCUUUUCUGGGUUACCUUCGCUCUGGGGAUGAGGCGACUGGGGGUCGUGGAUUUAACAUCCGGGACGUACCGGAUGAACGUAGAGUGACCUUGGUCAUUCCAGUGUUCACGUGCAAAGGAGGGCAGCUCACCUGUGAGGUGACCAACGCUCGGCGUAUUGCAAACGUCCGCAUCCAUGUCGAAAGGGCAAUACGGCAUUUGAAAGACUGUGCCAAUCACACUGGUCUCCAAAAUCGAUUAAAUACUACAGAUCUGUGCUGGCCUUGUGAAUCUGAGGGGGGAGCUUAUUUCCAGCAAGUAGUGUGGGGUGGGGGGUACUAGUAACCUCAUUAACUGCAAUGUAUUGUUCAAUGUAACUUACUUAAUUUUUAUUUGAAAACAUGAAAUACAGUGACUCAACCAAAUGAUGUUCAACUUGCUAGUAUAUUUAACACUGACAGACGGCAACCUACGUUUUUUAUUCAUAUUUUGUUACAGUAGUGACAUAUCAUAACUAAAUGAUUAGGCAACUGAUAAGAGAAUUAUCUAAUAAAUGUAAAUGAAUCAAUAAACCAUGAUGAAUUAUUAGUCAUACAGCAGGUUUAAUGAAUAAUCAAUGUAAUGAUCAAUGUAGGGAUCGAUUAGUCUGAUUAGUUCCGGAAAGUCCAGGAACCACUGGAGAGGGAAAGAAAUGUGUGUAUGCAAUUAGGAGGGACACCAGGAGACAGAUGGUCAAGGGAGUAAAAGCUUCAAAGAGUUCUUAAACCUUGAGGGAAAAGAACAGGCUGAGCUCUGGAUAGUGAUAAACAGUGUGAGAAGUUUAUGGGGGAUGCAGGUCACCAACUGAUUGUGUGUAAAUGCAUGUGCGUAAGUAAGCAAGAACUAUAUAAUGACUGUUUUGUUAUCCUGACCUCAGAACAUUCUCAUGAAUAAAGCUACAGAAACCUU